Molecule: ribosomal RNA, 1454 nt
Filed under: uncultured bacterium
Lineage: Bacteria
Description: bacterial SSU rRNA
Rfam family: Bacterial small subunit ribosomal RNA
Source: RNAcentral
GCCCGUGGGGCCCGCUAUACAUGCAGUCGAGCGGACAGAAGGGAGCUUGCUCCCGGAUGUUAGCGGCGGACGGGUGAGUAACACGUGGGUAACCUGCCUGUAAGACUGGGAUAACUCCGGGAAACCGGAGCUAAUACCGGAUAGUUCCUUGAACCGCAUGGUUCAAGGAUGAAAGACGGUUUCGGCUGUCACUUACAGAUGGACCCGCGGCGCAUUAGCUAGUUGGUGGGGUAAUGGCUCACCAAGGCGACGAUGCGUAGCCGACCUGAGAGGGUGAUCGGCCACACUGGGACUGAGACACGGCCCAGACUCCUACGGGAGGCAGCAGUAGGGAAUCUUCCGCAAUGGACGAAAGUCUGACGGAGCAACGCCGCGUGAGUGAUGAAGGUUUUCGGAUCGUAAAGCUCUGUUGUUAGGGAAGAACAAGUGCGAGAGUAACUGCUCGCACCUUGACGGUACCUAACCAGAAAGCCACGGCUAACUACGUGCCAGCAGCCGCGGUAAUACGUAGGUGGCAAGCGUUGUCCGGAAUUAUUGGGCGUAAAGGGCUCGCAGGCGGUUUCUUAAGUCUGAUGUGAAAGCCCCCGGCUCAACCGGGGAGGGUCAUUGGAAACUGGGAAACUUGAGUGCAGAAGAGGAGAGUGGAAUUCCACGUGUAGCGGUGAAAUGCGUAGAGAUGUGGAGGAACACCAGUGGCGAAGGCGACUCUCUGGUCUGUAACUGACGCUGAGGAGCGAAAGCGUGGGGAGCGAACAGGAUUAGAUACCCUGGUAGUCCACGCCGUAAACGAUGAGUGCUAAGUGUUAGGGGGUUUCCGCCCCUUAGUGCUGCAGCUAACGCAUUAAGCACUCCGCCUGGGGAGUACGGUCGCAAGACUGAAACUCAAAGGAAUUGACGGGGGCCCGCACAAGCGGUGGAGCAUGUGGUUUAAUUCGAAGCAACGCGAAGAACCUUACCAGGUCUUGACAUCCUUUGACAACCCUAGAGAUAGGGCUUUCCCUUCGGGGACAGAGUGACAGGUGGUGCAUGGUUGUCGUCAGCUCGUGUCGUGAGAUGUUGGGUUAAGUCCCGCAACGAGCGCAACCCUUGAUUUUAGUUGCCAGCAUUCAGUUGGGCACUUUAAGGUGACUGCCGGUGACAAACCGGAGGAAGGUGGGGAUGACGUCAAAUCAUCAUGCCCCUUAUGACCUGGGCUACACACGUGCUACAAUGGACAGAACAAAGGGCUGCAAGACCGCAAGGUUUAGCCAAUCCCAUAAAUCUGUUCUCAGUUCGGAUCGCAGUCUGCAACUCGACUGCGUGAAGCUGGAAUCGCUAGUAAUCGCGGAUCAGCAUGCCGCGGUGAAUACGUUCCCGGGCCUUGUACACACCGCCCGUCACACCACGAGAGUUUGCAACACCCGAAGUCGGUGAGGUAACCUUUAUGGAGCCAGCCGCCGAAGGUGGACAGGGGU